UAGUAAUCGCAGAUCAGAAUGCUGCGGUGAAUGCGUUCCCGGGUCUUGUACACACCGCCCGUCACACCACGGAAGUUGGGGGCGCCCGAAGCCACUUAGCUAACCCAUUUGGGAAGCGAGUGUCGAAGGUGAAAUCAAUAACUGGGGUGAAGUCGUAACAAGGUAUC
RNAcentral lists this ribosomal RNA (167 nucleotides) under uncultured bacterium. RNAcentral's name for it is "partial 16S ribosomal RNA". It matches the Rfam family "Bacterial small subunit ribosomal RNA", at positions 1336 to 1500 of the family's 1533-position model. The record is from RNAcentral.